CUGGAGGUAUCAGAAGUGCGAAUGCUGACAUAAGUAACGAUAAAGCGGGUGAAAAGCCCGCUCGCCGGAAGACCAAGGGUUCCUGUCCAACGUUAAUCGGGGCAGGGUGAGUCGACCCCUAAGGCGAGGCCGAAAGGCGUAGUCGAUGGGAAACGGGUUAAUAUUCCCGUACUUGGUGUUACUGCGAAGGGGGGACGGAGAAGGCUAUGUUGGCCGGGCGACGGUUGUCCCGGUUUAAGCGUGUAGGUGUGUGUUCCAGGUAAAUCCGGUUCACUUUAACACUGAGGCGUGACGACGAGGCACUACGGUGCUGAAGCAACAAAUGCCCUGCUUCCAGGAAAAGCCUCUAAGCAUCAGGUAACAUCAAAUCGUACCCCAAACCGACACAGGUGGUCAGGUAGAGAAUACCAAGGCGCUUGAGAGAACUCGGGUGAAGGAACUAGGCAAAAUGGUGCCGUAACUUCGGGAGAAGGCACGCUGACACGUAGGUGAAGUGAUUUACUCAUGGAGCUGAAGUCAGUCGAAGAUACCAGCUGGCUGCAACUGUUUAUUAAAAACACAGCACUGUGCAAACACGAAAGUGGACGUAUACGGUGUGACGCCUGCCCGGUGCCGGAAGGUUAAUUGAUGGGGUCAGCGCAAGCGAAGCUCCUGAUCGAAGCCCCGGUAAACGGCGGCCGUAACUAUAACGGUCCUAAGGUAGCGAAAUUCCUUGUCGGGUAAGUUCCGACCUGCACGAAUGGCGUAAUGAUGGCCAGGCUGUCUCCACCCGAGACUCAGUGAAAUUGAACUCGCUGUGAAGAUGCAGUGUACCCGCGGCAAGACGGAAAGACCCCGUGAACCUUUACUAUAGCUUGACACUGAACAUUGAGCCUUGAUGUGUAGGAUAGGUGGGAGGCUUUGAAGCGUGGACGCCAGUCUGCGUGGAGCCGACCUUGAAAUACCACCCUUUAAUGUUUGAUGUUCUAACGUGGACCCGUGAUCCGGGUUGCGGACAGUGUCUGGUGGGUAGUUUGACUGGGGCGGUCUCCUCCUAAAGAGUAACGGAGGAGCACGAAGGUUGGCUAAUCCUGGUCGGACAUCAGGAGGUUAGUGCAAUGGCAUAAGCCAGCUUGACUGCGAGCGUGACGGCGCGAGCAGGUGCGAAAGCAGGUCAUAGUGAUCCGGUGGUUCUGAAUGGAAGGGCCAUCGCUCAACGGAUAAAAGGUACUCCGGGGAUAACAGGCUGAUACCGCCCAAGAGUUCAUAUCGACGGCGGUGUUUGGCACCUCGAUGUCGGCUCAUCACAUCCUGGGGCUGAAGUAGGUCCCAAGGGUAUGGCUGUUCGCCAUUUAAAGUGGUACGCGAGCUGGGUUUAGAACGUCGUGAGACAGUUCGGUCCCUAUCUGCCGUGGGCGCUGGAGAACUGAGGGGGGCUGCUCCUAGUACGAGAGGACCGGAGUGGACGCAUCACUGGUGUUCGGGUUGUCAUGCCAAUGGCACUGCCCGGUAGCUAAAUGCGGAAGAGAUAAGUGCUGAAAGCAUCUAAGCACGAAACUUGCCCCGA
This 1546-nucleotide ribosomal RNA is filed under the name Salmonella enterica. RNAcentral describes it as "partial 23S ribosomal RNA". It matches the Rfam family "Bacterial large subunit ribosomal RNA", at positions 1273 to 2802 of the family's 2925-position model. The record is from RNAcentral. RNAcentral also lists the same sequence under 2 other names. Lineage: Bacteria; Pseudomonadati; Pseudomonadota; Gammaproteobacteria; Enterobacterales; Enterobacteriaceae.